Molecule: microRNA, 22 nt
Filed under: Fragaria vesca subsp. vesca
Lineage: Eukaryota; Viridiplantae; Streptophyta; Magnoliopsida; Rosales; Rosaceae
Description: fve-miR11285
Source: miRBase by way of RNAcentral
UCUAUUCAAAGAGAUGACUGUU